CGGCGAGUGAAGCGGGAAGAGCUCAAAUUUGAAAGCUGGCACCUUCGGUGUCCGCGUUGUAAUCUCGAGAAGUGUUUUCCGUGCUGGACCAUGUACAAGUUCCUUGGAAUAGGACGUCAUAGAGGGUGAAAAUCCCGUACUUGACAUGGACGCCCAGUGCUUUGUGAUACACUCUCCACGAGUCGAGUUGUUUGGGAAUGCAGCUCAAAAUGGGUGGUAAAUUCCAUCUAAAGCUAAAUAUUGGGGAGAGACCGAUAGCGAACAAGUACCGUGAGGGAAAGAUGAAAAGCACUUUGGAAAGAGAGUUAAACAGUACGUGAAAUUGUCGAAAGGGAAGCGCUUGAAGUUAGACAUGCUUGUCGGGAUUCAGCCUUGCUUUUGCUUGGUGUAUUUCCCGGUGUGCAGGCCAGCAUCAGUUUUGUUUGCCGGAUAAGGGUGAGAGGAAUGUGGCCCCUUGGGGUGUUAUAGCCUCUCACUGGAUACGGCGGAUGGGACUGAGGACCGCAGUGUGCCUUUAUGGCGGGCCUUCGGGCACCUUCACACUUAGGAUGCUGGCGUAAUGGCUUUAAGCGACCCGUC
RNAcentral lists this ribosomal RNA (579 nucleotides) under Quambalaria pitereka. RNAcentral's name for it is "LSU rRNA". It matches the Rfam family "Eukaryotic large subunit ribosomal RNA", at positions 87 to 653 of the family's 3401-position model. The record is from RNAcentral. Lineage: Eukaryota; Fungi; Basidiomycota; Exobasidiomycetes; Microstromatales; Quambalariaceae.